This 493-nucleotide ribosomal RNA is filed under the name uncultured bacterium. RNAcentral describes it as "partial 16S ribosomal RNA". It matches the Rfam family "Bacterial small subunit ribosomal RNA", at positions 29 to 523 of the family's 1533-position model. The record is from RNAcentral.
AUUGAACGCUGGCGGCAUGCUUUACACAUGCAAGUCGAACGGUAACAGGUUAAGCUGACGAGUGGCGAACGGGUGAGUAAUGCAUCGGAACGUGCCCGAUCGUGGGGGAUAACGCAGCGAAAGCUGCGCUAAUACCGCAUACGAUCUGAGGAUGAAAGCGGGGGACCGUAAGGCCUCGCGCGAUCGGAGCGGCCGAUGUCAGAUUAGGUAGUUGGUGGGGUAAAGGCUCACCAAGCCGCCGAUCUGUAGCUGGUCUGAGAGGACGACCAGCCAAACUGGGACUGAGACACGGCCCAGACUCCUACGGGAGGCAGCAGUGGGGAAUUUUGGACAAUGGGCGCAAGCCUGAUCCAGCAAUGCCGCGUGCAGGAAGAAGGCCUUCGGGUUGUAAAGCGCUUUUGUCUGGGAAAAAAUCGCAUGGGCUAAUACCCUGUGUGGAUGAUGGUACCGGAAUAAGAAGCACCGGCUAACUACGUGCCAGCCGCCGCCGUAA